RNAcentral lists this ribosomal RNA (254 nucleotides) under uncultured bacterium. RNAcentral describes it as "partial 16S ribosomal RNA". It matches the Rfam family "Bacterial small subunit ribosomal RNA", at positions 524 to 776 of the family's 1533-position model. The record is from RNAcentral.
UACGUAGGGUCCAAGCGUUGUCCGGAUUUAUUGGGCGUAAAGAGCUCGUAGGCGGCUUAGUAAGUCGGAUGUGAAAACUCGGGGCUCAACCCCGAGACGCCAUCCGAUACUGCUGUGGCUUGAGUCUGGUAGGGGAACACGGAAUUCCUGGUGUAGCGGUGAAAUGCGCAGAUAUCAGGAGGAACACCGGUGGCGAAGGCGGGACUCUGGGCCGAUACUGACGCUGAGGAGCGAAAGCGUGGGGAGCAAACAGG